This is a long non-coding RNA of Cyprinus carpio carpio, 1953 nucleotides long. The record is from Ensembl. Lineage: Eukaryota; Metazoa; Chordata; Actinopteri; Cypriniformes; Cyprinidae.
UUCACAGCGCAGAUCAUAAUGAGCGAGCGUGUUUUUUAAAUAAAGUUUGAUGAUGACGUUGAUCCGCGACCAUGGUGUGCUGUAGUGUACUUUUACUGUCUAUGGCUGUAGUCCGUUUAUAGCCUACCGUUAGCAUUUUAUAUCUGACGGCUUUAUUUAGGCUUCAAAAUGUAUACAGUUUGGAUUAACUUGUAAAGAUUAUCUUGAUAAACAAAACGUGUAAGGGUCAUAACUCUUUGUUGAACACAGAUCUUAUUUUUUGUGCGGUAUGAUGGUAUAUUCUGUGACGAUGGAAUAAAAUGUCUACCGAUACAGAUUUUUCUAUUCCGUGUAUACCGUGAAGUUUAAAUUAGUGGGCGUGGUUAACCUCACGUGUAGCGCGCCGGGACGUGAGAACGAUUGAGAAGCUGCACACAAGCGUAUAUAAGAAGAAAAACAUGGAGAAAGAUAAGCAUGCUGAUAAAGAAAUCCCACAAACCAAUCCCGAGCAGCAGGAGGAGGAACGCGACAUCAGUGUGGAAGCUGGCACAGGAGCUCUUCUACACUCCCUUCAAGCAGCUCAGGAGGUGCCGUGUAUUCACUGAAGUCCUCAGCGAGUAAGGAGACCUCACCAUUGGCUUCGGACAAGCCAAUCACCACGAUGUCCUCCACCACUGGUGCCUGCUCCAAAACCUUGCAAAUUGCAAAAAAAGGUAAAAAAAAAAAAAAAAAACUGAUUUAGUGAUAAUUUAUCUCUAAUGAUUUUGCUUUUUUUUAUUAGAAUACUUAUGUUUACACACAAUCUAUGAAGGGCAGUGCUAUAUUGUGAAUAUUGUCAUGGCUGAAGGUUAUUGUUAGGCACAAUGCAGCCUUGGGUGUGUUAUUGAUUUCAUGAAAUAGUUACCACAUGAUAAUUUAGGAGUAACAGAAUGUUUAUAUGCAACAAAACAAAUCAAACAUGACUGAAAAAUCUUGCCAAAGUCUUCCAUAUUUUUUUAAACGUACAGACAGGCAUGUUUGAUUAUGCUUCAGGUGCCCUGCUCUAAUGUGUAUGUUACAUACCUCCACAGUUGUGAAUUUAACUUGGUGGCCUUGGCGCUUGCUCGAAGGUGACAUAUGUUCACCUUAUCAUUAAUUCUGAGCUUGGACAAGGCCUGGUCCCGCCAUAAGGACACCUCAAGGAUCCUGGAGCCGCUUUUGAUCCCCACGUCCAAGAUGGGGACUUCUGUGUCCCUCACAGUCGUCAUCCUUGGAACCUGCAUCUAUAAAGUUAUGUUCCUUCCUGAGUUAAGUGGCCCCCUCUUGAGAAGAGGUCCUGCUCAUCCCCAGUCACUGAGACAGAUGGUGGAACCAGGGCGUCUUUGGCCAUCUUCUCUGCAUCAAAGCUCAGUGUGAGGGGAGCGCUUUUGUAGGUCGUUGUGUUCGGACCCAUGAACAGACGUUCCUGCCCAUAUCUUGAGGACACGGUGUAGUUUUUUAUAUAGUAUGUCACGCCCUCUUCAAAGGCAGCCCUGUCUGAAGAGGACUGCGUGACAUACACCUGACCACCUGUGGACAGUGUACUAAGGUAAGUGAUCACUUGAGUGCCCGGCCUAAUUUCCCCAUCUACAAGCAUAAAAUUGAGGGUUUUUGUGGUUAAGCACACACUUGACCCUGAUGGGACUGGGGCAGCUAUACGGAGAGGAUGCCAUUCUGAUGAGGAAAACAUGAAAAAGGAGUUGUGCAGUGAUAAAUGAGUUUGUCAUUGGUGGAUGGCAGUCGUAAGGUGUACAGACAUCUUGAGGGGAAAUUAAUGGGAAAGUAACCUACACAAAUGAAAUGACCGUUAUCAGCUCGUCAGCACGUGAUUGAUCAUAGCCAAUGAGACCGCUGGAACUUUGAACAGGAAGUCAACCGCUUUUCCCGCCCGUGUUCCCCCAGUGUGAUUGCUUCCUUCAGAUUAUUGGUUCAUCCUUGUAAGUAUUGCACUUGCAC